RNAcentral lists this ribosomal RNA (466 nucleotides) under uncultured bacterium. RNAcentral describes it as "partial 16S ribosomal RNA". It matches the Rfam family "Bacterial small subunit ribosomal RNA", at positions 28 to 523 of the family's 1533-position model. The record is from RNAcentral.
GAUGAACGCUGGCGGCGUGCCUAACACAUGCAAGUCGAGCGAACCUUUCGGGGUGAGCGGCGGACGGGUGAGUAACGCGUGGGUAACCUGCCCUAUACACACGGAUAACGUACCGAAAGGUACGCUAAUACGGGAUAAAGUUGUUGGAUGGCAUCUUCUAACAAUCAAAGCUCUGGCGGUAUAGGAUGGACCCGCGUCUGAUUAGCUAGUUGGUGAGGUAAUGGCUCACCAAGGCGACGAUCAGUAGCCGACCUGAGAGGGUGAUCGGCCACACUGGAACUGAGACACGGUCCAGACUCCUACGGGAGGCAGCAGUGGGGAAUAUUGCACAAUGGGCGAAAGCCUGAUGCAGCGACGCCGCGUGAGCGAUGAAGGUCUUCGGAUCGUAAAGCUCUGUCCUCAAGGAAGAUAAUGACGGUACUUGAGGAGGAAGCCCCGGCUAACUACGUGCCAGCCGCCGCAGUAA